UGCAGAAUCCCGUGAACCAUCGAGUUUUUGAACGCAAGUUGCGCCCGAAGCCAUUUGGUUGAGGGCACGUCUGCCUGGGCGUCACGC
This 87-nucleotide ribosomal RNA is filed under the name Pseudognaphalium affine. RNAcentral's name for it is "partial 5.8S ribosomal RNA". It matches the Rfam family "5.8S ribosomal RNA", at positions 73 to 154 of the family's 154-position model. Rfam says of the family: 5.8S ribosomal RNA (5.8S rRNA) is a component of the large subunit of the eukaryotic ribosome. It is transcribed by RNA polymerase I as part of the 45S precursor that also contains 18S and 28S rRNA. Functionally, it is thought that 5.8S rRNA may be involved in ribosome translocation. RNAcentral also lists the same sequence under 6 other names. Lineage: Eukaryota; Viridiplantae; Streptophyta; Magnoliopsida; Asterales; Asteraceae. The record is from RNAcentral.